CCCUGGGUGGCACAAACUUUUAGUGCACUUGGCUGCUAACCAAGAGACUGGAGGUUCAAGUCCACCCAGAGGUU
Loxodonta africana (African savanna elephant) is the source of this 74-nucleotide transfer RNA. It matches the Rfam family "tRNA". From Rfam's summary of the family: Transfer RNA (tRNA) molecules are approximately 80 nucleotides in length. Lineage: Eukaryota; Metazoa; Chordata; Mammalia; Proboscidea; Elephantidae. The record is from Rfam.